CGGCAAUAACUACGCCCAUGAAUUCAUAUUCUUUGCAAAUGCAACCGCCUCAGCUGAUAGAGCUUUCCCAACUCCACCAACCGAAUGUGGUUUCCACCGGCCUCCGAUUAUCUUUCGGCGGCGACCAACAACAAUAUCAGAAUCAGAAUCUUCAAAACCAACAACACCAACACCAACAACGGCAACAGAAUCUUGUAACCAGCUCCACUCUUUUUUUGUCCGUGGUAUGCGAUGAAUUGGCUACCCAAAUCAAACGCCAGAGAGAAGAAUUGGACCAAU
RNAcentral lists this long non-coding RNA (279 nucleotides) under Gossypium barbadense (sea-island cotton). Its description in RNAcentral is "long non-coding RNA (GBAR_LNC018750)". The record is from RNAcentral. Lineage: Eukaryota; Viridiplantae; Streptophyta; Magnoliopsida; Malvales; Malvaceae.